This 1648-nucleotide ribosomal RNA is filed under the name Staphylococcus aureus. RNAcentral describes it as "partial 23S ribosomal RNA". It matches the Rfam family "Bacterial large subunit ribosomal RNA", at positions 231 to 1879 of the family's 2925-position model. Lineage: Bacteria; Bacillati; Bacillota; Bacilli; Caryophanales; Staphylococcaceae. The record is from RNAcentral.
UCGAUUCCCUUAGUAGCGGCGAGCGAAACGGGAAGAGCCCAAACCAACAAGCUUGCUUGUUGGGGUUGUAGGACACUCUAUACGGAGUUACAAAGGACGACAUUAGACGAAUCAUCUGGAAAGAUGAAUCAAAGAAGGUAAUAAUCCUGUAGUCGAAAAUGUUGUCUCUCUUGAGUGGAUCCUGAGUACGACGGAGCACGUGAAAUUCCGUCGGAAUCUGGGAGGACCAUCUCCUAAGGCUAAAUACUCUCUAGUGACCGAUAGUGAACCAGUACCGUGAGGGAAAGGUGAAAAGCACCCCGGAAGGGGAGUGAAAUAGAACCUGAAACCGUGUGCUUACAAGUAGUCAGAGCCCGUUAAUGGGUGAUGGCGUGCCUUUUGUAGAAUGAACCGGCGAGUUACGAUUUGAUGCAAGGUUAAGCAGUAAAUGUGGAGCCGUAGCGAAAGCGAGUCUGAAUAGGGCGUUUAGUAUUUGGUCGUAGACCCGAAACCAGGUGAUCUACCCUUGGUCAGGUUGAAGUUCAGGUAACACUGAAUGGAGGACCGAACCGACUUACGUUGAAAAGUGAGCGGAUGAACUGAGGGUAGCGGAGAAAUUCCAAUCGAACCUGGAGAUAGCUGGUUCUCUCCGAAAUAGCUUUAGGGCUAGCCUCAAGUGAUGAUUAUUGGAGGUAGAGCACUGUUUGGACGAGGGGCCCCUCUCGGGUUACCGAAUUCAGACAAACUCCGAAUGCCAAUUAAUUUAACUUGGGAGUCAGAACAUGGGUGAUAAGGUCCGUGUUCGAAAGGGAAACAGCCCAGACCACCAGCUAAGGUCCCAAAAUAUAUGUUAAGUGGAAAAGGAUGUGGCGUUGCCCAGACAACUAGGAUGUUGGCUUAGAAGCAGCCAUCAUUUAAAGAGUGCGUAAUAGCUCACUAGUCGAGUGACACUGCGCCGAAAAUGUACCGGGGCUAAACAUAUUACCGAAGCUGUGGAUUGUCCUUUGGACAAUGGUAGGAGAGCGUUCUAAGGGCGUUGAAGCAUGAUCGUAAGGACAUGUGGAGCGCUUAGAAGUGAGAAUGCCGGUGUGAGUAGCGAAAGACGGGUGAGAAUCCCGUCCACCGAUUGACUAAGGUUUCCAGAGGAAGGCUCGUCCGCUCUGGGUUAGUCGGGUCCUAAGCUGAGGCCGACAGGCGUAGGCGAUGGAUAACAGGUUGAUAUUCCUGUACCACCUAUAAUCGUUUUAAUCGAUGGGGGGACGCAGUAGGAUAGGCGAAGCGUGCGAUUGGAUUGCACGUCUAAGCAGUAAGGCUGAGUAUUAGGCAAAUCCGGUACUCGUUAAGGCUGAGCUGUGAUGGGGAGAAGACAUUGUGUCUUCGAGUCGUUGAUUUCACACUGCCGAGAAAAGCCUCUAGAUAGAAAAUAGGUGCCCGUACCGCAAACCGACACAGGUAGUCAAGAUGAGAAUUCUAAGGUGAGCGAGCGAACUCUCGUUAAGGAACUCGGCAAAAUGACCCCGUAACUUCGGGAGAAGGGGUGCUCUUUAGGGUUAACGCCCAGAAGAGCCGCAGUGAAUAGGCCCAAGCGACUGUUUAUCAAAAACACAGGUCUCUGCUAAACCGUAAGGUGAUGUAUAGGGGCUGACGCCUGCCCGGUGCUGGAAGGUUA